RNAcentral lists this ribosomal RNA (380 nucleotides) under uncultured bacterium. Its description in RNAcentral is "bacterial SSU rRNA". It matches the Rfam family "Bacterial small subunit ribosomal RNA", at positions 28 to 417 of the family's 1533-position model. The record is from RNAcentral.
AACGAACGCUGGCGGCACGCCUAACACAUGCAAGUCGAACGCCUGGCGCUCAGCAAUGGGUGGCGGGAGUGGCGGACGGGUGAGUAACGCGUGGGAACCUGCCUUGUGGUGCGGGACAACUCCGGGAAACCGGGGCUAAUACCGCAUGAUGCGCCUGGCAACGGGCGCUAAAGAUUCAUCGCCAUGAGAGGGGCCCGCGUCGGAUUAGGUAGUUGGUGGGGUAACGGCCUACCAAGCCUCGAUCCGUAGCUGGUCUGAGAGGAUGGCCAGCCACACUGGGACUGAGACACGGCCCAGACUCCUACGGGAGGCAGCAGUGGGGAAUCUUGCGCAAUGGGCGAAAGCCUGACGCAGCGACGCCGCGUGAGGGAUGACGGCCU